This is a long non-coding RNA of Beta vulgaris subsp. vulgaris (sugar beet), 578 nucleotides long. RefSeq lists it as uncharacterized. The record is from RefSeq and is a predicted model, not a curated record. The transcript has 2 exons. NCBI's taxonomy places the organism in Eukaryota, Viridiplantae, Streptophyta, Magnoliopsida, Caryophyllales, Amaranthaceae.
ACCACCGGAACCACCCAACCUGCCAUCCCUCCUCUGCUCUUCUCUAGUCUUCAUCCACCCAUGGCUCCCAACGUUAAGGCAUCCAUCGGCACCGCUGUUUUUCGCACAACUCAAGUGGAGAAGAUGAUGUUCUACCUUCCCCAGCCACCUACCCAGAAAAGAUGCCAUAGCCGACACCUUCGAAUUACCCACCACCGACGAAGGGAUUGGUUUUCAAUCCAGGAGCUUGGUUUAUCUUUCAAUGAGUCAGAUCAUCUCUCGCGAAGACACUUCAAUUUGGGUGUGCGUUUGGAUAAAUAUAUUGCCAUGGUUAAGCAAUAUAACACUUAUUGCAAUGAUAUAUACUAUUAGAUUAUCGCCCUAUGAGUAUGUGACCAGUGAUUGGUUAAUUUUUGUCUUGCAAUUACUGAGAUGUAUACUUCAUUUCAUGCCAUGCCAUAGUAUAAAGAUUGCUCCCUCUUUGCAAAUAUAUAAGCAUGGUUGUAAUUAUAUUAAUUGCCACAAAUCUGUAAAUCAAUACCACUUUGCUACUAUUGUGCCCGACUUUUGGGACUGGCAUAUAGCCUUGCCCAGCAUCA